RNAcentral lists this ribosomal RNA (557 nucleotides) under uncultured bacterium. RNAcentral's name for it is "bacterial SSU rRNA". It matches the Rfam family "Bacterial small subunit ribosomal RNA", at positions 47 to 595 of the family's 1533-position model. The record is from RNAcentral.
CCUAACACAUGCAAGUCGAACGGUAACAUGACUAGCUUGCUAGUUGAUGACGAGUGGCGGACGGGUGAGUAACGCGUAGGAAUCUACCCAGUAGCGGGGGAUAAGCCAGAGAAAUUUGGUCUAAUACCGCAUACGCCCUUCGGGGGAAAGCAGGGGAUCUUCGGACCUUGCACUAUUGGAUGAGCCUGCGUGAGAUUAGCUUGUUGGUGAGGUAAUGGCUCACCAAGGCGACGAUCUCUAGCUGGUCUGAGAGGAUGAUCAGCCACACUGGAACUGAGACACGGUCCAGACUCCUACGGGAGGCAGCAGUGGGGAAUAUUGCACAAUGGGCGCAAGCCUGAUGCAGCCAUGCCGCGUGUGUGAAGAAGGCCCUAGGGUUGUAAAGCACUUUCAGCAGUGAGGAAAGGUUAGUAGUUAAUACCUGCUAGCUGUGACGUUAACUGCAGAAGAAGCACCGGCUAACUCCGUGCCAGCAGCCGCGGUAAUACGGAGGGUGCGAGCGUUAAUCGGAAUUACUGGGCGUAAAGCGCGCGUANGUGGAUUGGUCAGUCAGAUGU